UUUAUUGAGCUUUGUUUUACUUGUACCUUAAUAAAUCAUUCAUAGGGGUCAAUAUUUUUGUUUGACUGGGGUCAAUAAAUAUUUUUUAAUAAAAAUUCUAUUAUUUUCCAAAAGUUCACUGAGGUCAUUUGACCCCUAUAAUUCUUCAUUGGCUCCGUCCCUGUGUGUUGGGUAGGCACUUUGGAUCAAAGCUGUAUGUGAGUAUAAAGUUAAUAGCAUGCAGAGCAUUUAGCAUAUUCUCAAGGGACAUCAAAUUCCCCAGAGUGAAUAGAAAUUUGAUCAGUAACUGAAUCGUUAAAUAAUAAAACACAGAUAGAGUUAUAUCACCUGUAAAAAAUUGACAGACUACCUAAAAUGAAUUAAA
RNAcentral lists this small RNA (364 nucleotides) under Arabidopsis thaliana (thale cress). RNAcentral's name for it is "ATSL013250". The record is from RNAcentral. Lineage: Eukaryota; Viridiplantae; Streptophyta; Magnoliopsida; Brassicales; Brassicaceae.